Molecule: ribosomal RNA, 90 nt
Filed under: Vibrio vulnificus
Lineage: Bacteria; Pseudomonadati; Pseudomonadota; Gammaproteobacteria; Vibrionales; Vibrionaceae
Description: partial 16S ribosomal RNA
Rfam family: Bacterial small subunit ribosomal RNA
Source: RNAcentral
GACGCUCACCACUUUGUGGUUCAUGACUGGGGUGAAGUCGUAACAAGGUAGCGCUAGGGGAACCUGGCGCUGGAUCACCUCCUUAUACGA